AUGAACGCUGGCGGCGUGCCUAAUCCAUGCCCGUCGAGCGAACGGACGAGAAGCUUGCUUCUCUGAUGUUAGCGGCGGACGGGUGAGUAACACGUGGAUAACCUACCUAUAAGACUGGGAUAACUUCGGGAAACCGGAGCUAAUACCGGAUGAUAUUUUGAACCGCAUGGUUCAAAAGUGAAAGACGGUCUUGCUGUCACUUAUAGAUGGAUCCGCGCUGCAUUAGCUAGUUGGUAAGGUAACGGCUUACCAAGGCAACGAUGCAUAGCCGACCUGAGAGGGUGAUCGGCCACACUGGAACUGAGACACGGUCCAGACUCCUACGGGAGGCAGCAGUAGGGAAUCUUCCGCAAUGGGCGAAAGCCUGACGGAGCAACGCCGCGUGAGUGAUGAAGGUCUUCGGAUCGUAAAACUCUGUUAUUAGGGAAGAACAUAUGUGUAAGUAACUGUGCACAUCUUGACGGUACCUAAUCAGAAAGCCACGGCUAACUACGUG
This 496-nucleotide ribosomal RNA is filed under the name uncultured bacterium. RNAcentral's name for it is "partial 16S ribosomal RNA". It matches the Rfam family "Bacterial small subunit ribosomal RNA", at positions 29 to 507 of the family's 1533-position model. The record is from RNAcentral.